GUGAAUUAGUGAACACAGGAGCAGUCCCCUGCCUGCUGUUCUCCUGGGGAUGAGCCAGCUGGUUUCUCCAAAGAAGUCACAUGAUUCAAAGGCAUCCAGGAAAUCUGACAGCCUGCUGAGGUGCCGCAAAGAGACAGGAGCAAACGAAAGUUAUUCCGCAGAUUUCCCAUUCCCAGGGCAUCCCUUGUCCAGGCGGGUGGAACCACAUCAUGUGCAAGGGGGCGGUCAUUAACGGGGCGAUCAUUAACGGGGCAAUCAUUAACAGGGUGUUCAUUUGUGUUCCAGGUGGUCAGCUCGACCAACGGGGAGCUGAACGUGGACGACCCGACGGGGGCACACUCCAACGCGCCGAUAACAGCGCAGGCGGAGGUGGAGGUGGUGGAGGAAGCGAACUGCCUGAAAAUGCUCAACUUGUGGUGCUGCUGCUUCUUUAAGAGGAAACGGAAGAAGACGGCUCAGCGCCACAAGUGACCGGUGCCUCCUGGGCCUUGCAGGAACCACCUCGCCUGCAGCUCCUGCCCUGUCUCACUGGAAGGGGCUUCUCUUUAGGGGGGAGGAGGAGGAGGCAUAGGAGGAAGAGAGAAAGAAAGAAAAAAAAAAAAACAAAACAAAACAAAACAAAAAGUGACAUUUUAAACCAAAAAGAGAAGAAAACGUUCCAAAACAAACCA
RNAcentral lists this long non-coding RNA (671 nucleotides) under Calidris pygmaea (Spoon-billed sandpiper). RNAcentral's name for it is "lncRNA (ENSCPGG00000003562.1)". The record is from RNAcentral. Lineage: Eukaryota; Metazoa; Chordata; Aves; Charadriiformes; Scolopacidae.